RNAcentral lists this non-coding RNA (45 nucleotides) under Schistosoma haematobium. The record is from RNAcentral. Lineage: Eukaryota; Metazoa; Platyhelminthes; Trematoda; Strigeidida; Schistosomatidae.
AUCCAACUGACGAGUCCUAAAUAAGACGAAAUGCGUGUCUUGGGU